This 834-nucleotide ribosomal RNA is filed under the name uncultured Bacteroidota bacterium. Its description in RNAcentral is "bacterial SSU rRNA". It matches the Rfam family "Bacterial small subunit ribosomal RNA", at positions 47 to 871 of the family's 1533-position model. The record is from RNAcentral. Lineage: Bacteria; Pseudomonadati; Bacteroidota.
CUUAACACAUGCAAGUCGAGGGGAAACGGCAUUGAGUGCUUGCACUCUUUGGACGUCGACCGGCGCACGGGUGAGUAACGCGUAUCCAACCUUCCCAUUACUGUGGGAUAACCUGCCGAAAGGCAGACUAAUACCGCAUAGUCUUCGAUGACGGCAUCAGAUUUGAAGUAAAGAUUUAUCGGUAAUGGAUGGGGAUGCGUCUGAUUAGCUUGUUGGCGGGGUAACGGCCCACCAAGGCUACGAUCAGUAGGGGUUCUGAGAGGAAGGUCCCCCACAUUGGAACUGAGACACGGUCCAAACUCCUACGGGAGGCAGCAGUGAGGAAUAUUGGUCAAUGGACGGAAGUCUGAACCAGCCAAGUAGCGUGCAGGAUGACGGCCCUAUGGGUUGUAAACUGCUUUUGUAUGGGGAUAAAGUUAGGGACGUGUCCCUAUUUGCAGGUACCAUACGAAUAAGGACCGGCUAAUUCCGUGCCAGCAGCCGCGGUAAUACGGAAGGUCCAGGCGUUAUCCGGAUUUAUUGGGUUUAAAGGGAGCGUAGGCUGGAGAUUAAGUGUGUCGUGAAAUGUAGACGCUCAACGUCUGAAUUGCAGGCGCAUACUGGUUUCCUUGAGUACGCACAACGUUGGCGGAAUUCGUCGUGUAGCGGUGAAAUGCUUAGAUAUGACGAAGAACUCCGAUUGCGAAGGCAGCUGACGGGAGCGCAACUGACGCUUAAGCUCGAAGGUGCGGGUAUCAAACAGGAUUAGAUANCCUGGUAGUCCGCACAGUAAACGAUGGAUGCUCGCUGUUGGUACCUGGUAUCAGCGGCUAAGCGAAAGCAUUAAGCAUCCCA